CUACGUGCCAGCAGCCGCGGUAAUACGUAGGGGGCGAGCGUUAUCCGGAAUUAUUGGGCGUAAAGAGUGCGUAGGUGGCACCUUAAGCGCAGGGUUUAAGGCAAUGGCUCAACCAUUGUUCGCCUUGCGAACUGGGGUGCUUGAGUGCAGGAGGGGAAAGUGGAAUUCCUAGUGUAGCGGUGAAAUGCGUAGAUAUUAGGAGGAACACCAGUGGCGAAGGCGACUUUCUGGACUGUUACUGACACUGAGGCACGAAAGCGUGGGGAGCAAACAGGAUUAGAUACCCUGGUAGUCCACGCCGUAAACGAUGAGCACUAGGUGUCGGGGUCGCAAGACUUCGGUGCCGCAGUUAACGCAUUAAGUGCUCCGCCUGGGGAGUACGCACGCAAGUGUAAAACUCAAAGGAAUUGACGGGGACCCGCACAAGCAGCGGAGCAUGUGGUUUAAUUCGAAGCAACGCGAAGAACCUUACCAGGACUUGACAUC
RNAcentral lists this ribosomal RNA (486 nucleotides) under uncultured bacterium. Its description in RNAcentral is "bacterial SSU rRNA". It matches the Rfam family "Bacterial small subunit ribosomal RNA", at positions 501 to 988 of the family's 1533-position model. The record is from RNAcentral.